Molecule: ribosomal RNA, 468 nt
Filed under: uncultured bacterium
Lineage: Bacteria
Description: partial 16S ribosomal RNA
Rfam family: Bacterial small subunit ribosomal RNA
Source: RNAcentral
GACGAACGCUGGCGGCGUGCUUAACACAUGCAAGUCGAACGGAAAGGCCCUGCUUUUGUGGGGUGCUCGAGUGGCGAACGGGUGAGUAACACGUGAGUAACCUGCCCUUGACUUUGGGAUAACUUCAGGAAACUGGGGCUAAUACCGGAUAGGAGCUCCUGCUGCAUGGUGGGGGUUGGAAAGUUUCGGCGGUUGGGGAUGGACUCGCGGCUUAUCAGCUUGUUGGUGGGGUAGUGGCUUACCAAGGCUUUGACGGGUAGCCGGCCUGAGAGGGUGACCGGCCAAAAUGGGAAUGAGGAACGGGCCAGACUCCUACGGGAGGCAGCAGUGGGGAAUAUUGCACAAUGGGCGGAAGCCUGAUGCAGCAACGCCGCGUGCGGGAUGACGGCCUUCGGGUUGUAAACCGCUUUCGCCUGUGACGAAGCGUGAGUGACGGUAAUGGGUAAAGAAGCACCGGCUAACUACGUG